Molecule: ribosomal RNA, 301 nt
Filed under: uncultured bacterium
Lineage: Bacteria
Description: partial 16S ribosomal RNA
Rfam family: Bacterial small subunit ribosomal RNA
Source: RNAcentral
CAGUAGCCGCGGUAAUACGUAGGUGGCAAGCGUUGUCCGGAAUUAUUGGGCGUAAAGGGCUCGCAGGCGGUUGUGUAAGACAGGUGUGAAAUCCCCGGGCUUAACCUGGGAACUACGCUUGUGACUGCACAGCUAGAGUAUGGCAGAGGGGGGUGGAAUUCCACGUGUAGCAGUGAAAUGCGUAGAGAUGUGGAGGAACACCGAUGGCGAAGGCAGCCCCCUGGGCCAAUACUGACGCUCAUGCACGAAAGCGUGGGGAGCAAACAGGAUUAGAUACCCCAGUAGUCCCUGUCUCUUAUAC